CCAGCUUUGACAUGUGAGCAGAUUGAAACUGUGUGAGAAUACAUGAGGCAUAAACCAGGCAAGGGGAGCAUAUAUUUUGACUAGUGUACAAGCUUGGCUAGUCAGGAAAUGCUUGGCUGUAUAGGUCAAGUUUCUGAUUGGUCUGGAUGACUACUUGGUUAAUAUGGGGAUCAAAGUUUAGUUUGAUGUCCAUUAUGACACCGAGUACAUUAGCAGUAUUACUACAAGGGGUACAGUCCAGAGUUUUCCAUCCAGUCUUAAAUAUUAAAGAAACGGAUUUGUAGCUGAGCUGUUCCUCAGAGAAAGACUUGACUGCAGUACAGGUCCAGUUGUGGUGGGCGUUGUGGAGUGGAGGCAAUUUCUUUGGAGUGAGACAGCAAAUACCAUUGGAUCUGGGUAGCCAUUGGUUGCCAGGUGUGCUUCUCAGCACAGGAGGUCAUCUUGCUGAAGAUGGCCUGGAGGGAUCACUGGCGGUCACUGUAGCCACUUUUUCGGGUUGUCACGUAUGGCUCUUCUUCUGACAGUGGACCAGAGGGGUUUCCCAUCAACUCCUUGUGUCAUCCAAGAUGAAACCCUACAUUGUCCAUUCUUCACAACAUUUCAUCUUGAAUUCUGUUAAUCUGCCUCUGGUAUAUAAACCGGAAAAACUGCAAAAUCUGAUACUCCCUGUAACAAACUUUUUAUGGUCUUCUGAAAUAAACCAGGUGCGGAUGACAGUACAGAAAGUGAAGGCUUCAUCAUGGGUGCCGCAGUAGCAACAGUCCAUUCUGAAUAUUUCAAAGAAAUGAUAUACGCUUUUCACUUCAAUGGUGUUUAUUUCCUCUUGUGCCUUAGCAUGCAUUCCUAAGGGAAUGAUCUUGGUCUGAAGAAUCCGGGUUUGGCAUCUGUUGAAACAUGGACACUACUCAUAGUUAUUUUUGACAUACCUAAUUCUCAUCAUCUUUAAUAAGCACUUUUUUACUGAAGUAUUAUUUUCUGGAUUUAUGUGCUUUAUGUUUAAUAAACAUUUUUAA
This is a long non-coding RNA of Protopterus annectens (West African lungfish), 1013 nucleotides long. RefSeq lists it as uncharacterized. Lineage: Eukaryota; Metazoa; Chordata; Ceratodontiformes; Protopteridae. The record is from RefSeq and is a predicted model, not a curated record. The transcript has 5 exons.